Molecule: ribosomal RNA, 457 nt
Filed under: uncultured Comamonadaceae bacterium
Lineage: Bacteria; Pseudomonadati; Pseudomonadota; Betaproteobacteria; Burkholderiales; Comamonadaceae
Description: bacterial SSU rRNA
Rfam family: Bacterial small subunit ribosomal RNA
Source: RNAcentral
CGGGGGGCAGCAGUGGGGAAUUUUGGACAAUGGACGCAAGUCUGAUCCAGCCAUGCCGCGUGCGGGAAGAAGGCCUUCGGGUUGUAAACCGCUUUUGUCAGGGAAGAAACGGCUCGGGUUAAUACCUUGGGCUAAUGACGGUACCUGAAGAAUAAGCACCGGCUAACUACGUGCCAGCAGCCGCGGUAAUACGUAGGGUGCAAGCGUUAAUCGGAAUUACUGGGCGUAAAGCGUGCGCAGGCGGUUAUGCAAGACAGAUGUGAAAUCCCCGGGCUCAACCUGGGAACUGCAUUUGUGACUGCAUGGCUAGAGUACGGUAGAGGGGGAUGGAAUUCCGCGUGUAGCAGUGAAAUGCGUAGAUAUGCGGAGGAACACCGAUGGCGAAGGCAAUCCCCUGGACCUGUACUGACGCUCAUGCACGAAAGCGUGGGGAGCAAACAGGAUUAGAUACCCGAGU